Mesocricetus auratus (golden hamster) is the source of this 2081-nucleotide long non-coding RNA. RefSeq lists it as uncharacterized. The record is from RefSeq and is a predicted model, not a curated record. Lineage: Eukaryota; Metazoa; Chordata; Mammalia; Rodentia; Cricetidae. The transcript has 4 exons.
UGGGAUUGCACACACCACCACGUUUUUAAUGUGUUCAGCUCAUUGUCGCCGUGUUUAUACUGUUCAGGAUUCUCUUCCCACUGCAGGGGCGUCUUGCGGGUCACUGUAAUCCCUCACAGACAUACUCGGGCCCAUCGUCUAGGAUGAUUCUAGAUUUUGCCAAAUGACAACAAACACGACUAUCAAGUAUCAAAUUUUAGCUUUUUUUUUCUUAACAUUUCCCUCUUGAUUUUGCCCCCCCCAGCCCCCCAACAUCUCGAGCUUCUCCAAGCUACUCAGGAGACGUGUGUGUUAGACCAGAUCUGUGUGCUGCUUUGGGAAGUAGCUUUCUUGGCUUGUACUCAAGAUAGCGCAAGUUAAUUUGGCUCCGGACCCAUAACUUUCCAUCUCUACAAUCUUGGAAAUUCACUCAGCCUUGUGGCAUCUCUAAGACAGCUGAAUCCCGCAAGGAGUUUGAUCAGAGUAUCACUCAAUCUAUAGACAAAUUUGAGGAGAACUGGCGUAACACUAAAUUUUAUAAUAUAAGCAGACCUUGAAAAAUACUGGCAAAUGCUUCGUGCAGUUCCCAGAGAACUGAGACAUGUGACGGAGAGUGCUUUUCCAGACUAAGAAGUAACUCAGAAAACACCGGCUACCUACUUUUGUAGGCAUAUAUUCCUUUCAGACAGGGUUUCUCUGUGGAGCCCACCAACAGGACCAGUCAUAGCCAAGAGCACUAAGGAGAUGAGGGGCACCACUGAAAGCACAGUAAACCCAGGUUUUCUCAAGAGUUUCUCACAGUAACACUUACCCAAGCUAACAGACAGAAAUCCCAUUAAUAGCCACAGCAAACUAAAGGACUUCUGUGUGUUAUAGAACAGCACAGAAUCUGACAGUGGUUUUUCUUCAACUCACUUAAAAGGUAAGUAAGGUGGAGGGAAAAUGGAAAAUUCAGGUUGGCAACAGCAGAGAGUCUGGAUUUAACCUUGUCUCCCUAAAAAGAAGCCUUACUAAAAAUGAACGUCUGAGGCGCAGACAAAAAGGGUUUGCAAAGAAUUGACUCACUUUCCUCCUCCACUGUUGAGAGCUGGGGCUGGCCUUGUCAGCAAGUCUGAGAUCUGAGAGGACAGCUUGGUCUUGGCUGCUGUCUGCUGCUGGACCCGCACUUCAGCUGCGUCUGCUAAGUGCAUUAAGGUCUUCCGCUCUGGGCUUUCUUCAAAAUUCUUACAGCCAAUGCAUUUGCAGAUGGAGGAACACAUUAUUUUUGCCUGAAAGAUUUACAAAAGGGAAGUUUCCAAAUCAAAAACAGAAAAUAUGACUGUAAGUAGGUUCCACAACAGAAAAGUAAUAGCAUUAUCUUGUCAUCCAAGGUAAGCGUGAACGGAAGCACACUCUGCAGGUCCAGAGGCUGUGCCUGUGGGUGGAGUGAGGAGUACUUGAGGACAGUGCUUUACCAGGCCUUUCAGCUCCCAGUCUGACUUCAGAGUCUCACCCACAGAGAACUAACCUUCAGUUCAGAACGGAUAUAAAUAAAACAUGAACAUAUUUUAAAAAGGUCACUAAGAACCCAACCCCAAUCAAAUCACCAUUAACACAGACAAACUCACAAUUUCACACUAAAGGGAUUUCAUGCCUGAGCUUGGUCAGAUGAGGUAGAAAGACUGACUGUCAAGAAUUUGAAGCCAGCUUAGGCUACAAGUGUGAGUCUUAUCUCGGAAGGACAAAGGGAAAAGGGGAUUUCAAGCAUUGCUUUCUCCUCCUUCACUGAACCAGAUUACCAAGUCCUUCAAUAAUCAAAUCCAUAUGCCAGUAUGUUCUCAUAUGUACAAAUUGAAAGUAUGUUUUCAUGAAAACACAGACUGAAGCUAGGUAUGAUGGCCACAUCUAUAAUCCCAGCACUUGGAAAACAGAAGUAGGAAGAUUAGUGGUUCAAGGCCAGCCUAUGCUGCAUGAGCUUGUUUUACAAAAUCACCUGAUGGCUUUGGAGCGCCUCCUUUCCUUACGCUUCACAGCUCUCAGUCACCCAGCAGAGCUGGAUCCCUGGCAUGACUUGCCAUGCUUUCUGGGUCAUUCAUUACCCUAAUAAAAAGUGAUGGGCUUUU